AGCCUCUGAUAGCCAGAUCAUUCUCCUUCUUGUCUUUUACACCUGACUUUCAUGGAUCUCCUUCAUUACUUCACCUCAAGAUUGUCUAGAAUAAUCUUUCUUCUGGUCUAGCAACUCAUCAUUCCUGAUGCUUAAAGGGAUGUCAUGAAAGCUCUCUUCUGAUAUUUGAAGGGCUGUCAUGUGGAAGAAAGAGUAGUCUUGUUCUGUGGAGCUCCAGAAGACAGAUCCAAGACUGUUUGAUGGAAAUCAGAAUGGGGCAGAUUUCAGGUCACCAUGACUUUGCAGCAUUGAGAGUUGUCACCCAAUGGAAUCAAUUGCUUGGAGCAUCAUGGCAUCCCCAGUCCUGAGUGUGCUAGAGCCCAAGCUGGAUGUCUAUGUAUUGGGGAUGUUGUAGGGAAGAUUCUUUUAUGGAUGGAAGAUUGAUCUGGAGGAUACCUGAGGUCUCUUCCAACUCGAAGGGACUCCUUCCAUUCCUUCAACAAGACACCAAACCUUUCUCGAUGGAGAUGGAUUUUCAUUUCCUUGUUCUUUUGACUCUAAUCUUUGGACCUCUAGCACUGUCUUUUCCACAUCGUAUUUUUGUGUGUCCUCUUGCUUGGUAUGACUUAAUGACUGAAUAUCAGACUCAUGAAAUCAUAGAACUGUAUAUUGCAGUUGGAAGAGACUUCAGAUGCCACCGAGUCUCAUUUGUUCAUUUUGCAGAUGACUGUGACUUUUCCUCGCUUGGAGCUUCCAGGAGUGGCAUGGCAUCUCCCAUCUACACACUGUUGCAUUAGCCGUGCCUCCUGCCAGGAGAACAGUUCUUCCUUGCCUCUGCAUCAUAGACUCUGACUCUGAGCACAGCUCAAGCAGUAUCUUCUGUAUGGACCUUUCUUGAUCACCCAACUGCUAGCCCCCUCCCUCUUAAAGUACUGUGUUCUUGCC
RNAcentral lists this long non-coding RNA (924 nucleotides) under Monodelphis domestica (gray short-tailed opossum). Its description in RNAcentral is "lncRNA (ENSMODG00000034548.2)". The record is from RNAcentral. Lineage: Eukaryota; Metazoa; Chordata; Mammalia; Didelphimorphia; Didelphidae.